UCCGUAGGCGGGCAAUUAAGUCAGAGGUGAAAUCCCACAGCUCAACUGUGGAACUGCCAUUGAUACUGGUUGUCUUGAGUUACAGUGAAGUAGAUAGAAUAUGUAGUGUAGCGGUGAAAUGCAUAGAUAUUACAUAGAAUACCGAUUGCGAAGGCAGUCUACUAACUGUAUACUGACGCUAAUGGACGAAAGCGUGGGGAGCGAACAGGAUUAGAUACCCUGGUAGUCC
RNAcentral lists this ribosomal RNA (229 nucleotides) under uncultured bacterium. Its description in RNAcentral is "partial 16S ribosomal RNA". It matches the Rfam family "Bacterial small subunit ribosomal RNA", at positions 568 to 796 of the family's 1533-position model. The record is from RNAcentral.